This 422-nucleotide ribosomal RNA is filed under the name uncultured bacterium. RNAcentral describes it as "bacterial SSU rRNA". It matches the Rfam family "Bacterial small subunit ribosomal RNA", at positions 355 to 774 of the family's 1533-position model. The record is from RNAcentral.
UGAGGAAUAUUGGUCAAUGGGGGCAACCCUGAACCAGCCAAGUCGCGUGAAGGAUGAAGGUCUUAUGGAUUGUAAACUUCUUUUACACGGGAAUAAAGUGGGGGACGUGUCCCCCUUUGCAUGUACCGUGUGAAUAAGGAUCGGCUAACUCCGUGCCAGCAGCCGCGGUAAUACGGAGGAUCCGAGCGUUAUCCGGAUUUAUUGGGUUUAAAGGGUGCGCAGGCGGGAUGUUAAGUCGGCGGUGAAAUUUUGCAGCUCAACUGUAAAAGUGCCUUCGAUACUGGCCUUCUUGAGUGUGGAUGAAGUAGGCGGAAUUUGUGGUGUAGCGGUGAAAUGCUUAGAUAUCACGAGGAACUCCGAUUGCGCAGGCAGCUUACUAAGCCACAACUGACGCUCAUGCACGAAGGCGUGGGGAUCAAACA